RNAcentral lists this transfer RNA (72 nucleotides) under Alosa alosa (allis shad). RNAcentral's name for it is "tRNA-Asp". It matches the Rfam family "tRNA". From Rfam's summary of the family: Transfer RNA (tRNA) molecules are approximately 80 nucleotides in length. Lineage: Eukaryota; Metazoa; Chordata; Actinopteri; Clupeiformes; Clupeidae. The record is from RNAcentral.
CCUCAAUUAGUAUAGUGGUCAGUAUCCCCGCCUGUCACGCGGGAGUCCUGGGUUCAAUUUCCCGACGGGGAG